CUGAACCUACGGGGGGCAGCAGUGGGGAAUCUUCCGCAAUGGGCGAAGGCCUGACGGAGCAAUGCCGCGUGAGUGAAGAAGGCCUUCGGGUUGUAAAACUCUGUCCUUAUCGAAGAGAGGUGGGUAUGUGAAUAAUGUACUCAUAGGACGGUAGAUAAGGAGGAAGCCCCGGCUAACUACGUGCCAGCAGCCGCGGUAAUACGUAGGGGGCGAGCGUUGGCCGGAAUCACUGGGCGUAAAGGGCGCGUAGGGGGUUUUAUAAGUCAGUGGUGAAAGCUGAGGG
Molecule: ribosomal RNA, 283 nt
Filed under: uncultured bacterium
Lineage: Bacteria
Description: partial 16S ribosomal RNA
Rfam family: Bacterial small subunit ribosomal RNA
Source: RNAcentral